AGUUAAAAAUUUUAUCCAUUUCUACUAUUAAAAAUAGAUGUGGUUGACAAAAUAAUCAGACAGUUACCUAUGGCAUGUUAUAUGUACCUUAUACUAAUGUACAAAGACUAAUUUUUAACAAUAAAAAUAGAUAAAUUUUUAACA
Molecule: non-coding RNA, 144 nt
Organism: Gossypium hirsutum (cotton)
Lineage: Eukaryota; Viridiplantae; Streptophyta; Magnoliopsida; Malvales; Malvaceae
Source: Rfam